AUCCCCCAUAGGCCUGAGGUACUGGAAGGUCCUCAGGCCGAAAGGGGCUCUGCCCGCCCGAGGAUGGGCCGGCGGCCGAUUAGGUAGUUGGUGGGGUAACGGCCCACCAAGCCGAAGAUCGGUACGGGCCAUGAGAGUGGGAGCCCGGAGAUGGACACUGAGACACGGGUCCAGGCCCUACGGGGCGCAGCAGGCGCGAAACCUCCGCAAUGCGGGCAACCGCGACGGGGGGACCCCCAGUGCCGUGGCAACGCCACGGCUUUUCCGGAGUGUAAAAAGCUCCGGGAAUAAGGGCUGGGCAAGGCCGGUGGCAGCCGCCGCGGUAAUACCGGCGGCCCGAGUGGUGGCCGCUAUUAUUGGGCCUAAAGCGUCCGUAGCCGGGCCCGUAAGUCCCUGGCGAAAUCCCACGGCUCAACCGUGGGGCUUGCUGGGGAUACUGCGGGCCUUGGGACCGGGAGAGGCCGGGGGUACCCCUGGGGUAGGGGUGAAAUCCUAUAAUCCCAGGGGGACCGCCAGUGGCGAAGGCGCCCGGCUGGAACGGGUCCGACGGUGAGGGACGAAGGCCAGGGGAGCGAACCGGAUUAGAUACCCGGGUAGUCCUGGCUGUAAAGGAUGCGGGCUAGGUGUCGGGCGAGCUUCGAGCUCGCCCGGUGCCGAAGGGAAGCCGUUAAGCCCGCCGCCUGGGGAGUA
RNAcentral lists this ribosomal RNA (690 nucleotides) under uncultured archaeon. Its description in RNAcentral is "bacterial SSU rRNA". It matches the Rfam family "Archaeal small subunit ribosomal RNA", at positions 149 to 837 of the family's 1478-position model. The record is from RNAcentral.